This is a non-coding RNA of Paramuricea clavata, 90 nucleotides long. Lineage: Eukaryota; Metazoa; Cnidaria; Anthozoa; Malacalcyonacea; Plexauridae. The record is from the annotation of a GenBank genome assembly.
AUUUCAAUGAUUUUGGGUUUUUUUGAGACACCCUGUAUUGUAGCAUUGUACAGGGUGUCCCAAAAAACCCCGAAAACCAUUGAAAUCACU